RNAcentral lists this transfer RNA (76 nucleotides) under Schistosoma mansoni. It matches the Rfam family "tRNA". Rfam says of the family: Transfer RNA (tRNA) molecules are approximately 80 nucleotides in length. Their secondary structure includes four short double-helical elements and three loops (D, anti-codon, and T loops). Further hydrogen bonds mediate the characteristic L-shaped molecular structure. tRNAs have two regions of fundamental functional importance: the anti-codon, which is responsible for specific mRNA codon recognition, and the 3' end, to which the tRNAs corresponding amino acid is attached (by aminoacyl-tRNA synthetases). tRNAs cope with the degeneracy of the genetic code in two manners: having more than one tRNA (with a specific anti-codon) for a particular amino acid; and 'wobble' base-pairing, i.e. permitting non-standard base-pairing at the 3rd anti-codon position. The record is from Rfam by way of RNAcentral. Lineage: Eukaryota; Metazoa; Platyhelminthes; Trematoda; Strigeidida; Schistosomatidae.
GAGGUGGUGGUUUAAUAGUUAGACCAAUUGACUUGUAAUUAAUUGUUCAUCACAGGUUUGAACCUCAUCCAACUUA